CCUACGGGCGGCUGCAGUGGGGAAUAUUGGACAAUGGGCGAAAGCCUGAUCCAGCCAUGCCGCGUGUGUGAAGAAGGCCUUCGGGUUGUAAAGCACUUUCAGUGGGGAAGAAAGCCUUGGGGCUAAUACCCUCGAGGAAGGACAUCACCCACAGAAGAAGCACCGGCUAACUCCGUGCCAGCAGCCGCGGUAAUACGGAGGGUGCGAGCGUUAAUCGGAAUUACUGGGCGUAAAGCGCGCGUAGGCGGUCUGAUAAGCCGGUUGUGAAAGCCCCGGGCUCAACCUGGGAACGGCAUCCGGAACUGUCAGGCUAGAGUGCAGGAGAGGAAGGUAGAAUUCCCGGUGUAGCAGUGAAAUGCGUAGAGAUCGGGAGGAAUACCAGUGGCGAAGGCGGCCUUCUGGACUGACACUGACGCUGAGGUGCGAAAGCGUGGGUAGCAAACAGGAUUAGAUACCCUAGUAGUC
RNAcentral lists this ribosomal RNA (465 nucleotides) under Vreelandella stevensii. RNAcentral describes it as "partial 16S ribosomal RNA". It matches the Rfam family "Bacterial small subunit ribosomal RNA", at positions 338 to 795 of the family's 1533-position model. The record is from RNAcentral. Lineage: Bacteria; Pseudomonadati; Pseudomonadota; Gammaproteobacteria; Oceanospirillales; Halomonadaceae.